CUUGUAAUCCCUCCGUCCAGAAAUACUUGUCAUUGAAAUGGAUGUAGAUGUAUUUUAGUUCUAGACACAUCCAUUUUGAUGACAAGUAAUUCCGGACGGAGGGAGUACUUG
Triticum aestivum (bread wheat) is the source of this 111-nucleotide non-coding RNA. Lineage: Eukaryota; Viridiplantae; Streptophyta; Magnoliopsida; Poales; Poaceae. The record is from Rfam.